RNAcentral lists this transfer RNA (74 nucleotides) under Bifidobacterium animalis subsp. lactis Bl12. Its description in RNAcentral is "tRNA-Pro". It matches the Rfam family "tRNA". Rfam says of the family: Transfer RNA (tRNA) molecules are approximately 80 nucleotides in length. Their secondary structure includes four short double-helical elements and three loops (D, anti-codon, and T loops). Further hydrogen bonds mediate the characteristic L-shaped molecular structure. tRNAs have two regions of fundamental functional importance: the anti-codon, which is responsible for specific mRNA codon recognition, and the 3' end, to which the tRNAs corresponding amino acid is attached (by aminoacyl-tRNA synthetases). tRNAs cope with the degeneracy of the genetic code in two manners: having more than one tRNA (with a specific anti-codon) for a particular amino acid; and 'wobble' base-pairing, i.e. permitting non-standard base-pairing at the 3rd anti-codon position. The record is from RNAcentral. Lineage: Bacteria; Bacillati; Actinomycetota; Actinomycetes; Bifidobacteriales; Bifidobacteriaceae.
GGGCUGUGGCGCAGCUUGGUAGCGCGCUUCGUUCGGGACGAAGAGGCCGCGAGUUCAAAUCUCGCCAGCCCGAC